UACGUAGGCAGCGAGCGUUGUUCGGAGUUACUGGGCGUAAAGGGUGUGUAGGCGGUUGUUUAAGUUUGGUGUGAAAUCUCCCGGCUCAACUGGGAGGGUGCGCCGAAUACUGAAUGACUUGGAGUGCGGGAGAGGUGAGUGGAAUUCCUGGUGUAGCGGUGAAAUGCGUAGAUAUCAGGAGGAACACCGGUGGUGUAGACGGCUCACUGGACCGUAACUGACGCUGAGACACGAAAGCGUGGGUAGCAAA
This 250-nucleotide ribosomal RNA is filed under the name uncultured bacterium. RNAcentral describes it as "partial 16S ribosomal RNA". It matches the Rfam family "Bacterial small subunit ribosomal RNA", at positions 524 to 772 of the family's 1533-position model. The record is from RNAcentral.